UGCUUGAGUGAGAGGGGCUGAGACAACUGGAGAAGGAGCUCUCAUUGCCCUCUGCCCAUCAUCCAGCCAAGCCCUCAGUUUUCCAGUACUCUGCUGGAGAGAUGAGGCAUUCAUACCAGCUGCCCUUAGUGGGGCUCCUACUGUUUUCUCUUAUUCCAAGCCAACUAUGCAAGAUCUGUGGUAAGUACAAUUUCAGCUAAAAUUAUUCCAGUGUGAUAGUCUUCUGAAAGCUAUUAUCAGGGCACUCUAUGUAGAGGUAACUAAGAAAAGACCCUAUAUCAGGUCUAUGUGCGUUUUGACUCCAUGCGGAAUGGAAAGGGUAAUUAAAAAAUGAUGAGAAAAAUUCCACAAGAGGGAUCAUAGAUUCUGUAUUAAACUGCCUGUUCUUCCUAAGCUCCAAUCCUCUCUACCACAAUACCCCUACCAAGUAACUCUCUACUUUGUUCAUUUCCAGUGAUGGAAAAUUCAUGAUCUCAGAAACUUUUCAGGAUCAUAGAAAGUGAUCUUCUGAUUUUGAAGUGCAAUCUAUUUCUGCAGUUCAACCCAUGGCUUUGGUUUAACCCUUUGUAACUCACAGGAAAAAAAUAAUGAUGAUAAGCUCUUUCAAACAAUGAGUCUUCUCUCUUGUCAUUGUUUAUGUUUAGAUAUUUUAAGCUGCGUAUCUUCCAUCCUUCCAUUCUUUCUAUAGGACAUAGGUUAGAACCUCGUCAUCUCUGAGUAUUAGCUCCGGAGACUGCAAAGUUCUAUUAAAAAAAAGUAAAGUGGGAGAAAGGAAAUCCAGGCAUGGGUCUAGUUUGACCCCUUAAGUGGAGGAUAAUGAAGGACAAUUGUUGAAACACUUGAUCUCUUGAAGUCUGGAGUAGACCUCAGGUGUAUGAUUUCUCUUUUGUGAAUCUGUAUUCUAGAAUUUAGCUUUAAACAAAUCCAAGGAUGACUAGAUUGUGCCAUCUGCAGCUACGUACUCCUUGUACUCUAGCCAGCAAGAGGAGAUCAACACCAUAGGAGACAGACUUGUAUUCAAGCCAAGGCUAAAACACAGAAUCUUCCAACUCACAUUUUUCUUCCUGUACUGUCAGUUUCCCUACCGGAUCCAGAGAAUAGGAGACUUCCAGGGAGGCUUUGAAGUUCAAUUCAUUGCAAAGAAUAAUUAAAUUUGUCUUUAGUGAUCAAGGAAGUUGAUUAGAGUUGUUGAACAGGAACUAAAAAGUCUGCUUUAAUGCCAGAAAAUCUGCUGAACUGGAUGCUUCCACAAACCUCAGAAAUAUGAUUCACAAUUGUCCUGUUAUGCCUGCAACAAACUGUGACCUUCCUACAAUCACUCCAUUCAGAUCUUCUUGAGUGUUUAUUACAGUGAACAAAAUGUGCAAGAGAAAUCACAUCUCCUGUCUCUAAGUAUGACAAUAGGAACUCCAGUUGCACUGUAAAUAGGAACAUAUGGAGCAUUUUACCAUGUGUUAAUAUCCACAAUUUUUAAAUGAAGAAACCAAGGGUCAGGAAAGUUACAUAACUUACCCAUGGUCAUAAAUUAAGGAGCAAAGAGACCAUCAAAAGGUGCUGAACACAGGACUAGUUUUCUUCUCACUGUCUUACCAACCCAUGAGACUAUAUGGAGAUGGGAAGAAUCUGGGGAUAUUUCUCAAUAUUGUAAACAAAAUGUCUUAUGUUUUAGGUGGCAAUUAACUCUACUUAUUUUCCUCCAGAUCUUUGGGGCCUCUGGAUUCUCUUUUACCUCCGCAAUAAAAUGAACUUCCUUUCAUGUUCUCCACUGUAAUUUGGGGAUAUAAUAUAUAGGCUAAAACUAGAGGACAUUCCAAAGGGAGUGUGCUGCUAAGUAAUGAUCUUGAUGCCUGGCCAGUUGGGCAAUCAGAUAAUGCAACUUGGGGGUCAAUCAUCAAUGUAAUAGAAUUUUUGCCUUAGAAUGAAUGUUCUCAGGAUUAACCCAAUAAAGUUAGAAGAAAGAGAAGAAACUAGAUAGAAAAAAUAGAAAGAGCAAUAGAUAGGAGUCAGAAGACAUGUAUUCUAGUUUCAGUUAACCUUCCAAUUAUGAAAAUUUCUUUAAGGACAUUUCUCCAGGGAAUGAUACUAGAUAUCCCAGGCAGGACUGAUAUGCCAGUACCGGAUUCACAAGCUGUUAAAAUACUGAAAUACUACAAUGCUACUUGUCACAGAAGUAAUGAAGUGGAGGAGGGCUCCAGACCCACCUCUGUAUUAUUUCACCAACAUCUAGUAACUACUGGGUUGACUUUGGUCUGGGCCAUAACUAUUAGUAAAUAUUUUAAUAUAACCCUUGUUUCUAGUCUUAAUGUUUUAUGAGCAUUAAUACUGUUACAUAAGUUUGCUAAGUUCAGAACCAAAGAGGGUUGUGGACCACAGCUGAGAAAGUUGAUGUUAGAGAAUCAACCACGGAGCAAUAGAAAUUUGGAUUGGGUUCAAGUCCCCAUCAAGGCUUGGUCCAGUUAUGUCAAUACGGAACCUCCAUUUUUAGUUAAUGUAAGGGGGAAAUGAAGCCACCCUGAUCUACCUCAUAAUAGUAUUGCCACAUUAUUUCUUCCUUUCUGUACUACAGAGGUCAAUAAAGAAAACUACUCUUAUCUGAACCAUCUGUUGAAUACAAUGAUAAAUUCAGAAUACACAAGCAAAACCCAAUCUGCAAAUGUCCUGUUGUCCCUCAGCCUUGUUGGAAUUCAGGACAAAACCCUAAAACAACAAGUUGAAAGAACUAUGGAAGGGAAAGGUGAGUGUUAUAUUCUAUGAAAUAUUUAAGAAACGAUCUACCUAUCUAAAGAGAUUAUCUCCAACAAAUUCUAAAAAUUACGUGUCCAAAGUACCUCUGAUGCAUCAGUCCCAGCUGUAUAAAACCUGAAGUGACAGUGCCUAGCAGCAUCAAAUCCACUCACUCUAGAGCUAGGUCAUGCUUCUUUGGAUCCUUCAGAACCACAAAGGAAAGCAAAAUAUAUAGACUCUUAAUAUGGUGUUGUAAACUAGAUGAGUUUACACAUAAGGAUAUGAACCACAAACAAAAAAGCUCACAGUAGAGCAGCAUCUGUGGAACAAUAAAAAUUUGAAGUGGGUUCAAGUCCAGGAUUAUCCUUGAGCUAGUCACAUUAAUACUGAGCCUCAGGUUUUGAGUUGAUAUAAGGGGGAAAUGAAGCUACUCUUUCCUCUUCAUAUUAUUAUAAUAGAAGUCUGAAAGUUUUGCUACUCUAUUAAGACAGAACAUAAAAAUAAAUUAUUACUGUCCUAGAAAGAUGGCAAUAUGAAGAUAGAAAAUCCAAAGGUUUUAGUAUUUAUCUACUUUUCUUAUCUUUUUUUCAUCUUUUGUAAAUAUUGCAUGAUUUCAAAAAGAUCCCAUUAUUUCAUGAAAAAGACUAAGACCUAGCUUGCACUGAUACAGCAGAGCCUUAGAAGGCUCUGCUUUGGGGAUUAAAAAAAAGAGAACAAUAAAAAUUUUAGUGUACAGUAGAAUGGAGAAAAAGAAGUUAUAAGCAAUAUAAAGCCACAAGGAAGACAGGAAGCAAAAAAAAAUCACAAGCAUGUGUCUCGUUAAACUUGAACACUUUUCUUUUCAGAUCUAAAUUUAAGCUCGGGACAGCUUGCUGUGAUUAUACUGGCUUUGGAAGCAUGUCAUACCACUGGUGAAAACUUUACAUAUAAUGAAUAUCUGCUCAGUCAUCUAGAAAAGAAAUUCCAAGACGAAAUUGAAAAUAUGAGUAAGAAUCAAAUGUUCAGAAACCCUCAACAACUUUGACUUCUCCUCUACUGAUUCAGAACUGAAUAAUGUCCCUCCAUUGUGUCCUCCUUCCUCUUCAUCCCAUUCAUCCUGUGGCAUCCCUGCAGGUCACUUCCCCCUCUUCCCUCUUUCACUGUGCAACCUGCAUUUUUUUCUUUCCAAAUUGUGUUCAACUGAGCACUGCCAUACCUAUGUCAAGGUCUCCUUCACACACACACACACACACACACACACACACACAUACACAAUUCUUUAGUCCUCCAGGAGCUUGGCUUUUAGACAAAUAAUGAGUAACACCAGAAACAGCUGAACAACACAGGACACUGAGUUGUAAGUAACAAAGCAUCCAAAAUUAAUAUAAGAGCUAAAAGUGACCAGAGUACUUUAUCACUGGGAAAAAAAGGGUUGACAGUCACGGCUACUAGUGAAAUGCAUUAUUUUUUUUAAACUCCCACCUAAUAUAUAUCCUAUUAUUUACUAACUUCCUCCAAUCCCACCUUCUUUGAAGUGCCUCCAACCCAAGCCUCUCAGUUUACUGUUACAAGUGCAAGAGGCUUGGAGGUAGGAAAUCUAUGUUCUAGUCGUAACUCUGUAACCAGCUGAAUAUCUGGAUAGUCCUUUAAUCUCUUCACUGUUGGCUCUCCUCAGAUUUAAAAUGAAAGGAGUUAAGUCAGAUUUGGUGGCCUUUAAAAGUCUUUACAUUUCUUGGAUUUGCUCAUCCUAUGGGUGAUCUCUACCUUCUCUUACUUACCUCUUUAAAUAUACAGAAUGACAAUAAAGAAAGUAGGAGUGUGUUGAAAGGAGUAUAUUUACCCAGUACCAUGAGUAAAUAUUUAUCCUUUUCUUUCUGCCAGAAGCACACGAUGGCAAUCCACUGACCAACUUCUACCAGAUCAGCCUGGAUGUUUUGACUUUGUGUCUCUUCAAGGGGAACUACUCAACCACCGAAGUUGCUGAAUUAUUCAAUUAUACAAAAAACUAUUAUUUGGGUGGUCAGUUCUCAGUAGGUGAGUGUCACUUAACCCAAUUCCCUUGGCUCCAAGGAUACAAUCACCAGUAGUUCUUGCCCUUUGGGGUUUUGUACCAACAUUAAUCAUAUUUUUUUCCUAUCUUCUUUACCCUCAGAAGAGAAUAUUCUUUGGGGAAAAUCAUGGAUAAUGGUUGGCAGUUAAGCCUCUUUCCAGAUGUGUGGUACCAUAAAAAGACCUGGCUCCUAGUGUGGCUUAAUAUUACAAUCUGUAAAAUAAGGAUGGAACAUGAGAAUAUACAUACAAAAUAUUUUAGAAAGCAUAGAGUUUAAGAAAUAAAAUUCAAGGCAAGUCAUUUAAUUUAACACUUCCUCUUUCUCUAAUUUACUGAGACAAUGUGGACAUGUUGGUUGACUUGAACAACACAACCUCUCCUAGGGAAAAGUCCAAUAUUUUGAUCAAGUAAAGGAGAAGAACCAAUUUCCCACUGUGUCAGUUUAAUCAUCCAAAAGAAGUCUCCUCUAGAUAACUAGUAUUGGUGCUCAGCUCCUAUGGAUCCAGAUACAUGGGCUCAUCUUCAUCUAAAAGUUCAAAGCAAAACACCAGUCAGUAUUUCUGGACAGAAUGUGAGACUUCCCAUAUUCCUUUUCUUGUAAGAGAGAGAAGGUGUCAUACCAAGGAGCAAUCAAGCAUCAAAGAAAGAGUCCUUAUCCUUCCUUAUUCCCGUCUUUUGCCUCAUCCUGUCCCUUGAGGGGAUUUACUGGGGAACAAUUCUGUUAACUGCCAUUUUUAUUCAGUGUAAUGGACUGAUUAGGAACACACAAAGAUAUUUCUUUUGUUUUAUUAUCCUGGAUUUUCUCAAUUCCCUUACCAAUGUGGUUGAAAAGUUGAAGAAAGAUUUAAAAAGAUGAGAGCAAUCAAGAUCUAAAAGUGAAAGCUAGAAAGGAAAAAGCAGGCAGAGGAUUUCAUAAAAAUGAAAGGGAGAUCAGUAGAGUAGAGAUAAGGAUGGGAAGGGGAAGAACGGAGGAAAUGGGGAGGUUCUGGGCAAUAAAAUCCUGCAUUCCUGGAAAUCCCUCCGUCCAAGACAAACUGGAAUGGUUGGUCAACCUAUCACCAACGUUUUGUUCCCUGACAGACAUUGGUGCAAUGGCUGAAAAUAGACGGGAGAUCAGUAGAGUAUAGAGAUUAGGCAGAGGGAAGAGUGGAGGGAUAAGGGAGGUACUGGGCAAUGAAAUUGAUCAAAUUAUGUUAUGUGCAUGUAUGAAUAUAUCACAACAAAUCCCAAGAUUUUGUAUAGUUAUGAUGCACCAGUAAAAUAAAACAAAAAUGGAAAACUGUUCAUGAAUAUGGACUUACAAAUCCAUAUAUGGUUUUAUGGCUAUAACAUAAUAUGUUAUAUAUGUGCACAUGACAACUCAACAUAGGGAAGAAAUCUUGAAAUAAAUUUGAGUGCAUAGUCCUAGAAAGAUGAUCAGCCAUAUCUUAAAAUCCUUCUCUGCUGUCAUCAAUCCGAAUGACCAAACAUUCUGGUUUUUCCAAAUUUGUCCAUUUAACUGACUCUAAGCCCUAUCUCCCCAGAAAUCCCUUAGUCUAAGACAAAGAAUGGUUGGUCAACCCAUUACCAAUGUUUUGUUCCCUGACAGAUACUGGUGCAAUGGCUGUCCUGGCUCUGACAUGUGUGAACAGGAGUCUAACAAAUGAGCAGAUCAAAGCAGAAAAGAAUUUAACAAAAAUUGAUAAGUGUAUAAGGUUCCUGGUAAAAAAAAUUCUGUCUGAGAAAAAAGAAAAUGGUCUCAUUGGAAACACAUUUAGUACAGGAAUAGCUAUGCAGGUAAGUCAGAGGGUAAAAAUAGGAGACAGAAAAGGGAGUCACAGAGAACAAUACCUUGAUCCCUUAUUGUUGACCCCUAAGAUGAUGAUGAUGAUAUUAUUAUUACUAUUAUUAUUAUUUCUUUUUUAUUACUUUUUUAUUUAUAUGACAGUGGGAUGCAUUACAAUUCUUAUUACACAUAUAGAGCACAAAUUUUCAUAUCUCUGGUUAUAUACAAAGUAUAUUCACACCAAUUUGUGUCUUCAAACAUGUACUUUGGAUAAUAAUAUCCAUCAUAUUCCACCAUCAUUGUUAACCCCAUACCUCCUCCCUUGCCCUCCCACCCCUCUGCCCUACCAGAGUCCAUUUAUUCCUCCCACACUCCCCCUCCCUACCUGACUAUGAAUCAGCCUCCUUAUAUCAGAGAAAACAUUUGGCAUUUGGUUUUUUGAGAUUGGUUAACUUCACUUAGCAUUAUCUUCUCUAACUCCAUCCAUUUACCUACAAAUACCAUGAUUUUAUUCUCUUUAACUGCUGAGUAAUAUUCCAUUGUGUAUAUAUGCCACAUUUUUUUAUCCAUUCAUCUAUUGAAGGGCAUCUAGGUUGGUUCCACAAUUUAGCUAUUGUGAAUUAAGCUGCUAUAAACAUUGAUGCGGCUGUGUCCCUGUAGUAUGCUGUUUUUAAGUCCUUUGGGUAUAGACUGAGGAGAGGAACAGCUGGGUCAAAUGGUGGUUCCAUUCCCAAUUUUCCAAGAAAUCUCCAUACUGCUUUCCAUAUUGGCUGCACCAAAUUGCAGCCCCAACAGCAGUGUAUGAGUGUAUCUUUUUCCCCACAUCCUUGCCAACACUUACUGUUGUUUGUAUGCAAAAUAGCUGCCAUUCUGACUGGAGUGAGAUGAAAUCUUAAGAGUAGUUUUGAUUUGCAUUUCUCUAAUUGCUAGUGAUGAUAAACAUUUUUUCAUAUAUUUUUUGAUUGAUCGUAUAUCCUCUUCUGAGAAAUGUCUGUUCAGGUCCUUGGCCCAUUUAUUGAUUGGAUUAUUUAUUUUUUUGGUGUUAAGUUUUUUGAGUUUCUUUAUAUAAUCUAGAGAUUAGUGCUGUAUCUGAUGUGUGUGUAUAGUACUAGUAGGAGGAGGAGGAGGAGGAGGAAGAGGAGUAUGUUUCCUACACUAUUUUUCUUACAUGAUUUCCCAACACCAUCUGAAAUAUAUUCUUUUCACCUUCAAUCUUUACCUUUUCAUAUCCAAUGCUUUUAUGAAGCUUUUCCUAACUACAAUUUCUUUAUGAAAUUAGAAAUUUUGCUACAACCUAUCUUGUUAUAUCACAUGUAAUUUCACACUUUACCACAUACUGUUGUUUUGUGUGUUCAUCUUUCUUCCAAAUUAUGUUACUGCUGCAUUAGUAGUGAUAGUAGUAGUAAAUAGUGUCAGUAUUUGUUGUGUCCUAUUAAAUAAAUUAAUGCACAUAACAUCAUGAGGAAAGGAUUAUCCUAAACAGGAGCAUGAGUCAGAGUGUCAGUAAACUUGCCAAAUUUUAUAAAGCCAGAAAGUGUUAUGGAUGGGGAUGGACCUCAACAGUUGUUCUCAAAACUCACUCAGUACCUAUACUGUCAUGCACACAUUCCUCAAGGUCUGGCACUUUUUCUACAUUCUUUCAUUGACUUACUGAACUCUAAGUGGUAGAUACAAGAAUAGAAAAAAAAAAGGUUUGAAGGGGAAAAACGCAGAGUCAUUAGGAUGAAUAGUUAUUUGCCAGGCUGACGUCGGGUGAGAGGACUUUCAGAAGCAUCCCUUGGGGACUGGUCAAAAUGCAAACACUCUCAUCAUUUCAAGGCCAUGUGCUCCCCAUUCCUACCUUAGGCCUUUGCUCAUGCUGCUCCCUCAGCUCGGAGUCCCCUCCUCUUUCCUCCUUCCAACAUGCCUCAUCUGCCAAGCUGCCAAGGCUCACCUCCAAUACCACCUCCUCCAAUGAAGUUUUCCUCAGACUCACUACAUAUAUGUGAAACCCUCUCCAUUUUUGAAAGACAAUGUCACUAGGCACUUCUCUUAGGGCAUUCAUUUAGGGCACCUUUUACAAUAGUUUGUUGAUUAUGUUUAUUGAGUGCAUCUUUAUGAUAGGUAUUAUUCUAGAGCUAAAAUACAGGAGUAAAUAUGGCAGAGAAAGUCUAUUUUCAAUGGAAUCAUUGUACCUUGCAUUACACAAUUCCCCUGCACUCAAACUAGUCUAUAACCUUCCAUAUAGUGGGAAAGAUAACUUAAAGGUGCUUCCUAUGUUGUCAAUGUUCAGUAAAUUCUUACUGAAUUAGUUAGGUGCCACCUUCCACCCUAUUUGAAGUGUCUCUGACUCUCUUUCUUUCUCACUAGGCCCUCUUUGUGUCAUCAAAGUAUUAUGAAGAAAGUGAAUGGAAUUGCCAACAAACUCUGAAUACAAUAUUCAAGGAAAUUUCUCGGGGAAUGUUCAAUAAUCCAACUGCUGCGGCCCAGAUCUUACCUCCCCUAAUGGGAAAGACCUACUUGAAUGUUACAAACUCUCCUUGUGUCUCUGAUUUAGGUAUAAGCACGGAAGGAAGGGUAAACUCUUUUGCCUUUCAGCCUAACACCCAAAGGAUGUGAGAGGCAGGAGUCUUUAGGGGCUGAAAGUGAGAGGAUAAGCCUCUAAGCCAUAGAAGUUUCUAGACAGAAUUCAGUUCUCAUUACAUCAUCAGGAAUUACAACCACCUGAGGACUUGUUCUCAGGGUGGCAGACCUUAUUCUUGAUUGAAACAUAGAUAAGUGAUGUCUGUCUUCAAAGAGAUGUUUUCUGAUUGUAGAUACAGAAAUUCCCAUCCUAGACAAAGCAUCAUUCCCAUUCUAAACGAAGUAUAGAAGGUGAAUAUUAUAUUUCUGACUUUUCAUUAUUCACACAAUAAUUUCCAUUAUUCCUCUGUGAAAAAAUACAUGGUUGGAAAGAAUAUGGCAGUAUUCUUAGACAAAUGUAGUAUGAAUUAUUUAUUCAAACAGAUUAUUUUGAAAUAAGGUAGAAAGGAGUCAUUUUCUUCUAUCUCCCUUCAUUCCUGGUACAGCCACUUAUGGAUUUAGGGGCAUUGGGCAAAUGUUUAACCUCUAAGCUAAAGUAAUUUCUAAUGUAGAAAAUGGUAACACUACCUCACACAGGUUUUGUGAGAACUGAUUGAGCUAAUUCAUGUAAAAUGAUUAUUGCAAUGGCUGGCACUUAAUAUGUUCUUAGUAAAUAUUAAGAAAUAAAAAGAGGAAAGAUAAGCAUUGCUGGAUUCUGUACCAAAGGGGAAAAAAAUCAGGACUGUCUGGGGAAAACGGGCAUUAAGCCAACUGAAUUGUUUAAACAGCUGGGAGCUGAGCCCAAUGCCAGCAUUCACAGGCUGGGUAGUCUCUGUUUUCAUUUCUGUUUAGUCACAUGAGAGAUCUUCCCCUUGAUGACAUUUGCUCCUUGUAGCAAAUUCAUCUCUGUAUAAAGGAAAGGAAUCCUUAGACAGGGGUAGAAUGGUAUGCAAACUCUGACACCAUAUUUAUUCUUCUGCAUAUCUAUCUCUGCUUUUCUGUCUCUGUCAGAUAAAUUCAACAUUUCCAAUGAUGCACCUGAAUCUAACACACCUUCUAACUCAUCCUCAUCCAUCCUCGUCCAUUAUUCUGUGGUAAUCAAUGAAACAUAUCCUAUCAAUAUCACCGUGCCAAAUGGUUCAGUCUUCCUAGAUGUGAUGAAAGAAGCUCAAAAACAGAAUUCGACGGCAUUUCGGUAUGUCUGACCAUAACCUAAUGCUAAUGUAUUUACUGUAAUUUUGAAAGACUCAUUAAGAAUAUAUCUGCACCUGAAUAUAAAGUGUAUUUAAGACACUUCUGUACUGGUACUUUUGUUAUCCAUGUAUACCUCACAGCAGGGUUUAAAAAUACCUAUUAUAUGCUAGGAAGAUUAUUUCACCUCAAAGCACAUAAUAUGUAUUAAGUUAAUGUUCACUUAAUGAAUGAAUGAAUCCCAGGAUUCUUUCUUUUUUCAGCAAAACUUGAAUAAAUAGAACCUUUUAUAUCAGACAUCUGUGUCUAGAAGAGUGGUUCUUAACUACUUUUGAAUCAAUGACUCCUUUGAAAAUCAGAUGAAUGUAAUGAAAGCUCAUCUCAGAAAAAUUAACACCAAAAAAAUUGACAUUUCAAUUGGUAAUUUCACAAAUGCACUUAAGUCUCUCCAUUUCCCCCUUUCAGGAGAUGUAUGGACCCCUAAAUUAAGGUUCCCUGGCCUAGAGAGGUCAAAUAGCAAAUUUAAGAUAUUUGUGCCCCUGAAAAGUAUGAUUUAUUUGACUCCUUAAAUCUAGUUGAAAGUUAUUUAUUGUGUCUAGAAACAUGUACUGUAGAGAAAAUCUGAAUAAUUGUGUGUGUGUAUACAUAUGUGUAAUAUAUAUAUAUAUAUAUAUAUACAUAUAUAAUAAAUAUAUUUAAAAGACUGAUUUCAAGAGCUUCCAAGCAGAUAAUGAAAUAUGACUAAGGAAUGUGAAAUAGAUAACAACCUUGUCAUUUUGUAAUACACAUCACAUGAAAUAUCAAUCCUUCCUUCCUGAUUGUCUUUUCUAAAAGAAAACCCACUAAUUUGCAGUGCCUUGAGGUUAACAUGAGGUUAACACUUUCUUCUACUUCUCCAGUAUCUUCAACAGGUACUAUUCCAGGGUGGAAGGUUGAAGAAGUUAAUUGCAAAGUGUGUAUAAUGGCAGUGGGGGAAGACAGAGCCAUGGGCAUCACAUUGUCACUUUGACAGAGUGUGAAGUGCCUGCAUCAGAAUCCCUGGACUUUUGAUAAAACCUGCAGCUUCCCGGUCCCCAGCCCAGACCUAAGAAUCAAAUAAUCUGAGUAUAGGGCCAGGAAAUCUGUAUUUUGGGUUACAUCUCCAAGUUAUACUUAAAAACAUUAAAGGGUCUCCUUUGAAAAUUCUAAAUUCUUAUAACUCAUUCACUGUCCCCACAGUUUCACAAUGGAGCAGAGCGCAUGGGGCCCCUACAUUACUUCUGUCCAGGGUCUGUAUGCCAGCAACAAUAAGAGAACCUACUGGGAACUUCUGAGCGGAGGCAAAUCAUUGAGCCAAGGUAAGAAGAGAUGUACCAAGAAGAUCCAUGGAGUAUAAAUGCCCAAAGUUCUCAGAUGGGAGGGCAUAAGCUUUUGUUGGAAAUGGGCCAAAGUGUUGGGCAAGAUGGCAUCCAAUGGAUUCAGUGGUCAAAUCUUUUGACCUCUCUUUCUUCCUCUUUUCAGGAGUUGGUAGCUAUGUUGUUCAUAAUGGAGAAAACUUGGAGAUUCGUUGGAGCAAAUACUGAUAAGCCCAGACUUUCCUCUUAUGAAUGUACCUUUUGGAGUGGAAUUCUAUGAAGAAAUUAGCCCAACACUCCCCCCUCCAAUUCAAUAAAAGAUCAAUGUCUGUACAAGAAGAGCA
This 11928-nucleotide long non-coding RNA is filed under the name Marmota monax (woodchuck). Lineage: Eukaryota; Metazoa; Chordata; Mammalia; Rodentia; Sciuridae. The record is from RNAcentral.